GUGGGGAAUAUUGGACAUUGGGCGAAAGCCUGAUCCAGCCAUGCCGCGUGUGUGAAGAAGGUCUUCGGAUUGUAAAGCACUUUAAGUUGGGAGGAAGGGUAGUAACCUAAUACGUUGCUACUUUGACGUUACCGACAGAAUAAGCACCGGCUAACUUCGUGCCAGCAGCCGCGGUAAUACGAAGGGUGCAAGCGUUAAUCGGAAUUACUGGGCGUAAAGCGCGCGUAGGUGGUUCAGUAAGUUGGAAGUGAAAUCCCCGGGCUCAACCUGGGAACUGCUUUCAAAACUGCUGAGCUAGAGUACGGUAGAGGGUGGUGGGAUUUCCUGUGUAGCGGUGAAAUGCGUAGAUAUAGGAAGGAACACCAGUGGCGAAGGCGACCACCUGGACUGAUACUGACACUGAGGUGCGAAAGCGUGGGGAGCAAACAGGAUUAGAUACCCUUGUGGUCC
This 450-nucleotide ribosomal RNA is filed under the name uncultured bacterium. RNAcentral describes it as "partial 16S ribosomal RNA". It matches the Rfam family "Bacterial small subunit ribosomal RNA", at positions 354 to 796 of the family's 1533-position model. The record is from RNAcentral.